AUUGGUGAGGACAUCUCCAAUGGAUUGGUUCUCAUCAUUGGAUUAGUUAUCAUCAAUGC
This 59-nucleotide microRNA precursor is filed under the name Drosophila simulans. RNAcentral's name for it is "Dsi-Mir-976_pre stem-loop". The record is from RNAcentral. Lineage: Eukaryota; Metazoa; Arthropoda; Insecta; Diptera; Drosophilidae.